GUUCAUUAGGUAUUCUACGGGAUCGUGUUAUGCCUUACAGAGGGGUAAGAUGUGACAAUACUAGAACAACAUGAAAAAUACAUAUAUAUCUAGACUUCCAAGGCAACAAUAGCACUCUUAAAGGAAGCACUAUUUCUUGAAGCAUUUCCAUCUAUGAUUCUGUUUGAAGCCCUCCGAUCCAUUCGCCUUCUCUUUGGCCUGCUUU
This 205-nucleotide unclassified non-coding RNA is filed under the name Hevea brasiliensis (rubber tree). Lineage: Eukaryota; Viridiplantae; Streptophyta; Magnoliopsida; Malpighiales; Euphorbiaceae. The record is from RNAcentral.